This is a long non-coding RNA of Erinaceus europaeus (western European hedgehog), 1451 nucleotides long. RefSeq lists it as uncharacterized. The record is from RefSeq and is a predicted model, not a curated record. NCBI's taxonomy places the organism in Eukaryota, Metazoa, Chordata, Mammalia, Eulipotyphla, Erinaceidae. The transcript has 2 exons.
CCCUCGCCUGGAGUUCUGUGAGCUGGAGCUCAGCAGAGUAGCCUCCCGGCUGCUCGCCCUAGGGCGGGCCGACUCGCAGGGCUGAGUGGCUCGUGCCCGUUCCAGGAAGGGUCCUUUAGCUGGACCCUGGAGGCCGGGAGGCCCCCGCAACAGGGAGAGGAGAGGGGCGGUGUGCAGGCGUCAGGCUUCCUGUGGGUGGGCUAGGAGGGUGGGCUCAAGAUGGGGCCCCAGGCUCGUGCUCUUGGCCACCUGCCACCUGCCAGGCUCCUGGAAGCCUUCUCCCAGUGAUGGGAUGCCCCAGGGUGCAAGGUGGUGCCCCAGGACUAUGUCCUGGCACCCCUACUCCGCAGGCGUGCUCAGCCCCGCCCCCAGUGGGGGAGCAUCUCCCUGCACUUCCUAGUGGAUAGAGCACCUUCUCACCCCUCCCCUCUCUGUGGGGGAGCACUUCUGUCUUUCCUGUGGGGAGAGCAUCUCUUCACUUCUCUCUCUCUCUCUCUUUCUGUCUGUCUCGGAAGGAGCACCUCUCUGUCCUUCCCUGUGUGUGGAGAGCACCUUCUCCCUGAUGGCAGGAGGAUCAUUUUCUUAUCCUCAGGAGCAGAGUGUUUGUUCCACUCAGGGUUCAGCACCUGAACAGUAACUGGCUUUGGAGCUGCAGCACCCGUGCCCUGAGCUGGGCCCAGAAGAGGAAGUUGGAGGAGGAGGCUGAUGUCUUGUCUCUGCCUGAGUGCUCCUGGGACGGGAUGGGGAGCUCUGCACCUGCCCGGCUUCUCCUAGGCUUUAAUCUUCAAGAAAUCUCUCUACACAAGCACAUUUGUCGGUUUCUCAAGCAUUGCAAUGAAAUCUGCAAGACCGCUCUCUUCAUAGUUCCCGACAUGUCACGUGUGCAUCUGCCUGCUCCCACAUGAAUGAAGAACUGCUUACUUUUUCAUCUGCAGUCCAGCGUUUGAGUCUUCAGGACGUGGACCCUACUCACAUAUUCAAUAAGUGCGUCUACGGAAUUUUCCUUGUCAUAAAGAAGUUCACAAACAGAGACGAUGACGACUGCUACACACGAGUCAUGCACAGUUUACUCAGAACAGAAGCAUUUACAAUCAAGGGGCUCAGGGGACACACCAGCUCCUUCUCCACGGUCUUAGUAUUACUCUUUCUUUUUAACAUUAUGUAGAAAACAGACAUUUACAUUUGAUUUGUUUAAACACUGUAUAGCUCUAGAACAAAACAAACAAAACAAAAACAAAAACCCAGAACUAAACCAGAUCUAUGAUGUUGCAGGGUGGGUCACAGGGCUGGCGUCUGGCCUGCACAGACAUGUCAGCACCCCGGGGACCCACUCUGAUCCAGGGUGUGGGGCCCCUUGGGCUGAAGACUUGGCGGUGAUAUUGUGAAACAUAGGUGGGAGAAAGCUCCAGAAUUCCUUUGUCCACAAGUGAAUUGCACAUUUGGAAACUCAA